This 364-nucleotide ribosomal RNA is filed under the name Marinobacter salarius. RNAcentral's name for it is "bacterial SSU rRNA". It matches the Rfam family "Bacterial small subunit ribosomal RNA", at positions 56 to 419 of the family's 1533-position model. The record is from RNAcentral. Lineage: Bacteria; Pseudomonadati; Pseudomonadota; Gammaproteobacteria; Pseudomonadales; Marinobacteraceae.
UGCAGUCGAGCGGUAACAGGGGGAGCUUGCUCCCCGCUGACGAGCGGCGGACGGGUGAGUAAUGCAUAGGAAACUGCCCAGUAGUGGGGGAUAGCCCGGGGAAACCCGGAUUAAUACCGCAUACGCCCUUCGGGGGAAAGCAGGGGAUCUUCGGACCUUGCGCUAUUGGAUGUGCCUAUGUCGGAUUAGCUAGUUGGUGGGGUAAGAGCCUACCAAGGCGACGAUCCGUAGCUGGUCUGAGAGGAUGAUCAGCCACAUCGGGACUGAGACACGGCCCGAACUCCUACGGGAGGCAUCGGUGGGGAAUAUUGGACAAUGGGGGCAACCCUGAUCCAGCCAUGCCGCGUGUGUGAAGAGCGCUUUC